Molecule: long non-coding RNA, 727 nt
Filed under: Gossypium barbadense (sea-island cotton)
Lineage: Eukaryota; Viridiplantae; Streptophyta; Magnoliopsida; Malvales; Malvaceae
Description: long non-coding RNA (GBAR_LNC006680)
Source: RNAcentral
UUAAAAUCCGAUUAGGCUCCAGCAUGCCUCCGUCAUGGCUCCGGGCUAGCCCCGCUGUAGACGGCGUCGGAAACCCAAGAGUCGGCCCUUCAACCUCCCUUUUUAUCUCUUUUCUAACCCCAGACCUAGACUUAGGGACCAAAAACUUGAAAACGAAGAAAAAUACUCAACCCACUCCCAUUUGUACCUCAUUAUGUACCCAUUUUGAAACCUGAAUGAAAUUCCAACGAGUCUCUAGGGUUUUCACGACGGAGGAAAAACUAUGAUAGUGGCGAAGGACAAAGGAAACGUAUGAGUUUUUUUUACUAUUUCCUUUAUAAAAUAUAUGUGACGAUACAAAAAAAGCGAAAUGAAUCACCUUUUCGAUGUAAAUUUCAAUUUUUCUAUUGAUUGCUUUGUAUACGUUUUUUUGUAACCCCUUUUACAAUGAAAAUGUUUUUGGCUUUAUAGCCGAAUGAUUACAACAAAUGCUGUCAAAUUUCUAUUUUUUUUUGUUUCCUUCUAUAUCUGCUGCUUGUUUGUCUUCUCUUGCAGGUACGGAGGUGUUUUGCUGGCACCUGGUGGCGUACGAGCGUGCGGACAAGGGUAGCUGGCAGCAGUACAUGGGGUAGCGGCACCAAGGGAACCCUAGGGUUUUGAAAAUGAUUAGGUUUUGGGCCUGUUUGGGUUAAUUUUUGCUGUUGGGUUAUUGUAAUUUGGGUUGCUUCUUUUUAUUUGUAUUUGGGCU